This 3740-nucleotide long non-coding RNA is filed under the name Lathyrus oleraceus (garden pea). Its description in RNAcentral is "Pisum sativum (pea) long non-coding RNA (PSAT_LNC021078)". The record is from RNAcentral. Lineage: Eukaryota; Viridiplantae; Streptophyta; Magnoliopsida; Fabales; Fabaceae.
UAUAUAUAUAUAUAUAUAUAUAUAUAUAUAUAUUAUUUUGACAACCGUUUGAAAAAAUAGUGCGUUUUCAAGAACAUAGAAAAUAUUGUUAUUAAAGAUCGAAAUAAUGAAUAGUAAAAAAAAAAAUUUGAGAUACAUGUUCAGUGGCGCGCUUUUUAGUAUAUACUUCGUUACCUCACGCCAACAAUCCUUUGGUGACAUAUACGUUUUUAAUUUGCAUGUUUUGAGUAAAGGUAAGACUUUUGGUUAAAGGCAUGGAAUAAGAAAAGCUGACUAUUUUAAAACUUUAUAUAGUUCUCAGAGGGAAUAAAAAUUGGAAAUUACUCUAGUGUAGAAAUUAAAAUAUUACACAUAAGUUUUUUAUUUUAAAGUAUAUAUAUAAAUUAGAAGAUAAUUGAAAAGAAAGUGAAAAUAAUUAGAAGAUUAUCAAAGGUGUGGCCAUGAGUAUGCCCCCUAUACGUGAGUAAAAUAUGAAAUAUUUCAUUCAAUUUUGACAUUUUUACCUAUGAUUUAUCAACGAUUCAAACUUUUAUACCGAUGGAGAAAAGCUUGUGGGUAGUUCUUUUUGAGUAAUUUCAUGUUUUCCUGUAGUGUCAUAGGUAUUUUCUUUAAUUUUUAACUACCAUAACCUUGGUGUUUUUGCUUAUUAUUCAAAUAUCUUCAGCACAAAUAUUUUUUUGAGUGUUUUAUUCAACUUAUUUCAUCCAUAUACUUAACAUAUCAACAAGUGUUUCUUAUUCAACUUAUUUCAUCCAUAAACUUAAAAUAUACUUAACUAAUCUAUAUACUUAACUUAAGCUAAACCUUGGGUUCCCUUUGGUUUUGAUUUUUUUAAAUAUUAUUUUAAAUAAUCUAAACGUUUAAACUUAGCAUAUCAAUAAGUGGUCUUCAUAAAAAAAAUUUAAGAGAAAUUUUUAAACUAUUACAACUUUUGUCAAAUUUUUAUCACUCUCAAAUACUUUAUUCUUUUUCUAUAAUUACAUUUAUGUAUCAUAUAAAAAUACAUUUUAUUCAAAUAAAUAUUUAAAUAAAAUGUUUAUCUUAAAAUUUAGGAAAAUAACUCAAAGGAUUAGCUUGUGGAAUAUCUUCUUUUAUAUUUAGUCGUUGCAACUUACAUUUCCAUUCAUUAAACCAUGCAAUAUUACUAAUAGAAAACUCUUCACGAUGCUUUAAGGAGUUGUUUAUCAAUAUAAAACCAACAUAUAUAGUUGCUAUAUCUUAUGAGAGGUCACAUAAAGUAAUCAAAACUAAUGCAUCAAAUUAGAUAGCUUACUUUGAAAAUGGGUUCCAAGAAGACAUCUCUUUGAAAGUGGGAAGAUCUCUAUGGGUUUUGGUCUCCUAACCUUCUUCUCGGAGGAUAUAUGGGUUGGAGACUCCACCCUUCGCCAUAGAUUCCCUCGUCUCUUUUUAAUUUUAGGGAGGUCGAUAGAUUGGAGAAGGAUAGUUGGAUAUGGGAUCUCAAGUGGAUGAGACCUUUUUUUUAUUACGAGUUGGAUUUUUUUAGCGAUCUCCCGUCUUUAAUUAGAGAUUUCAUCCAUUUUGUUGAGAGCAAUGAAUGGAGGUGGCGUGGCUCAAGCUGUGGGGUUUAUUCCAUGUCUUCCGCCUACUCUUAUCUUUUGACUCGCGUGUUUCUCCUAGGUCAUUAGGCAUCUCCCAUAGAGUUAGUUCUUUCGGCCAUUUGGUGUAGUUGGACCCCCUCUAAAGUUAUUUUUUUUCUCUUGACGAACUUCUUUUGCGAUCAUAUCUGAAUCAGAGAAACUUACUUAAGAGGGGAGUCCCCUUGACAUCUGAGACUUUUUCCCAUGUCUUAUGCUCGUUGCCACAUUGAGCCUCCUCCCAUAUCUUUGUGACCUGCGAGGUUGCAUCCUUGUUUUGAUGACAAGAUUUUCAGGUGGUCGAGAUGGUGUGAAGUUUUGCUUAGAUAUUUUUUUGACCAUUUCCUAGAUGUUUAUCAUUUCUUUGGGGAUGCUAGGACUAGAAGGGUUUGAGGAUGAUUUGGCAUAUCGUGAUUUGAUCGAUUUGAAAACACUACUACGUAAAAUCCACUUCAUAACGGUUGGAAAAGGGAAACCACAACGUCUAACCAAUCGUUGUGAGGUAAAUAGCGGUUCUAUGUAUGAUGCUUUCUACCACGUUCGCCUAAUCUUGAUUAUAAGAUAUGUAGCGUGCUACCUAUCACAACGGUUACUUCAAAUAACCAUUUUGAUAUUCUUUAAUGCAUAACAUUUAACGACGAUCGUUCUAAACAACUGUUUGAUAUAUACACUGAGUUUAUAUAAAUUAUGUGAAAUGCUUAUAACCUUUCAAUUUGAUCUAAAACAUUAUAUUAUGACAAAUUAAGUCAUAUUAGAAUUUAGAAGAACAAGUUACACUUUCAAUGCUAAACAAGAAUUCUUCAACUCAUUAUCCGCAUAUUUUUCUUUAACAGUUAGAAUUUGGUUUAAUGCUUAUAGUAUUUCAACAUCCCUUUCUUUCAUCUCUAGUUCAUUUUGUAAAAUAUUAUUUACUUUGAAAACAAAAUUAGAGAUAGAGAAAAGGGUGGUCGAAGAACUAGAACAAUUAAACCAAAUUCACACAAGUUUGCAGCGCUAACUUUAGCAUUAUCCUCGUUAACUUUUUUCAUUCAUCAUCCCUACCUACAAGUUAAAAUAAUCAGAAAGUUUAAACAUUAUGAAUUAAGCUAUUGAAACAUAUACAAUAAUAAAUAGAUUUUGAAACAUAAACUACUGUGAAGACGAACCUGUAAGGUAGUCAUUUGCUAAAAUUUGAUGCAACAAAGGUAACCCUUCGAAGAGAAGAUGAGUUCGCUACAUAAGUUUUGGUUUCCAUAUGAGAGAAAUGAGUGACAGAGAUGUUAGGAUUUUUUUAGAGAGACGAGUGGAAGACAUGUUAGAAUUUUGUUUUUGAGAGAGAUGGUUGUUAUCUAUUGAAGUGAGAGAUAACUUUGCUUAUACAUAAAUAUGUAACAUCUUUCACUACGGUUGCUAAUAUGAUAUGUGAUGAAAUGUUGCAAUAGUUUUUUCUGCAUCUUCAGUGACAUCAAAAAUGGGGAAGAGAUGAGCAUCUUAUUGAUUUGGAAAUUAUAUCUUGGUAGGUCCGUCGAAAACUCAUGUGAUUUGUCGGUCUAACUUGAGAACCCUAUCUUAUUUAUAAGCUAAUAGAGGGAUGAGUGCUUUCGACCUUUAUUGAAUGUAUUCUUGUUUCGUCUUUUAUGGUUUUGUUGCUCUUUUUAUGUUUUUUCAUAUCAGAGAUAUCUAAUUUUUCCUAAAAUUAGUGUUUUUGUGUUUCUAUGCUUGCUGCUUAUUCUGUUUCUACUUUCUUCUUGGUGGUUGGAUUGUUGUACUAGUAGUAGUUGUAUUUUGUUUUCUUUUUUAUUUUAAGUCCAAAUUUGAUAUUUCUAGUGCCUUUCUUAGGAGUCGUUGUAUUGUGGUUGUAUUAUCUAUAUGUUUUAUUUAUAUACCAUAUUUUCCUUUUAAAAAAAGGACAACUUACUUUGAAUUAACAUUACAUUACCUCUGUUAGUUAAAUUAUUUCAAACAACACACUUCUAAUUCGUAAAUAUAUCUUUUAAAAAUAUUAUUCAUAUUUUUUAUUUUACCUAUUCACUUCAUGCAAGGUUAUAAACUAUUUUUUUAUUUUAUGACAUGUUUAUUUAGUAUAUUAAAGGGACAAACAGUAUAGUAAUGUGCUUAAAGAAUAUUUAAUAACUAUCAUUAUUAAAACAAUGAGGCAUAUAUAAA